CAGCAAACUUCAACGAGACAGUGAUGAAGUCUUCCGAGUCAAACCACAGCAUUUUUUGUUAAAAGGUUAACUGACUCUCAAUUAUUACCGUUGAGACACCUUUUGUGAAAAAAGUCACUGCCUGCGGAUACUUGUUUCAUAAAGUAAAAAAGAUUUCCUGGGCAUCUUAAUUUGAGAUACCUAAUCUCGACUGCACUUUUAUCAAAGCCAUUCUUGACUCCUUCAAAGCCAGGAGCAAAGAUUUAUGUUCAUCUUAGAUUUCCCACCAGGGUAGAUAUUAAAACUUCUUUAUAUAUUAAGUAAUCGAGUCUAACAUUGGAGUCCGGUCGUACUUAGUGUGGUUUCUGCUAUGAGGUUGCAACUAAUAAAAGGCAUUGGCACACAACAGACAGUCGUAAAAGGACUCGAAUCGCUUUAUUAUUUAUUUUUCCCCUAAUGAGGAGUUUUAGCGGGAAUGUUUAUUAGUGUAUUCUUCAAAGGAAGUAUCGAGACCGCCACAAAGGAACGGGAAACAGCCAUUUGACUUAAACUUGAAAGCCUUCUAGAAACCCCGGCCGUAACUAACAGCCAGGCCUCCCCGACUAAUUGUUAUAUUGCAAUAAUGUUUUAAUGUUUUAUAAUUCGAAAAAAAAUUAUUAUUAGCCUUUUUUAAUAACUAAAAACUAUGAUAAAAGAGUAUAAAUUCAUGAAAAACAUACAAAAUAGCUAGUAUGGAAAUAAUUAUUUUUUAUUAUUAUUAAGGUGCAGGUGGUAUGCUACAGUCGAUAAUAGUGAAAAACUUUGCUUAAUCACCCACCCCCAACGACAGGGUCUCUCCCUGCAUGCUGCCUACAAAAACCCUGCCUAGGAAAAAGUAAAGUUGCCAACAGUAAAUUUACCUUUAUGAGGACAUCUUAUUAAAAUAAUUCGGUCGACAGUGAUUA
Long non-coding RNA from Zophobas morio, 923 nucleotides. RefSeq lists it as uncharacterized. Lineage: Eukaryota; Metazoa; Arthropoda; Insecta; Coleoptera; Tenebrionidae. The record is from RefSeq and is a predicted model, not a curated record. The transcript has 3 exons.